GCUUGUCUCAAAGAUUAAGCCAUGCAUGUCUAAGUAUAAGCAAUUAUACCGUGAAACUGCGAAUGGCUCAUUAAAUCAGUUAUCGUUUAUUUGAUAGUACCUUACUACAUGGAUAACCGUGGUAAUUCUAGAGCUAAUACAUGCUAAAAACCCCGACUUCGGAAGGGGUGUAUUUAUUAGAUAAAAAACCAAUGCCCUUCGGGGCUCUUUGGUGAAUCAUAAUAACUUAACGGAUCGCAUGGCCUUGCGCCGGCGACGGUUCAUUCAAAUUUCUGCCCUAUCAACUUUCGAUGGUAAGGUAUUGGCUUACCAUGGUUUCAACGGGUAACGGGGAAUUAGGGUUCGAUUCCGGAGAGGGAGCCUGAGAAACGGCUACCACAUCCAAGGAA
This 389-nucleotide ribosomal RNA is filed under the name Preussia minima. RNAcentral's name for it is "partial small subunit ribosomal RNA". It matches the Rfam family "Eukaryotic small subunit ribosomal RNA", at positions 30 to 423 of the family's 1831-position model. The record is from RNAcentral. Lineage: Eukaryota; Fungi; Ascomycota; Dothideomycetes; Pleosporales; Sporormiaceae.